UACACUAGUCAAAUUUGGUGUUGAUCUGUUUAAAAGAGAGUUUAAAUACAAUGCCUGAAAAUGGUGAAAACGGCACAAAACUUCAAUUCAAGUUUAUUUGUAUAGCGCUUUUCACGAUACAAAUCGUUGCAAAGCAACUUUACAGAAAAUGAAGUUUCUGCAAUAUAUUAAGUUUUUAGUUUAAACUGGGCAGGAAAAUAAAAAAUAACAGACUUCCUGUUGGGUUUCAGACUAUGUACCAGGGGACUUUUUUGUAGGUAUUGGUGUGUUACAUGUGUCUACCAAAUUUUGUACAUGUAUGUGAAACAUAGCUUGAGGGGCAGAUGGAUGGAUGGAUGGAUGGAUGGAUGGAUAGAAUGCCGUUUGUAUAAGGGAUCCACCCCUCAAGUGACUUGAUAGCGAGUUGUUUCACAGCAACACAUGGUUUAUUAAAAUGAUGAAUUGCACUCACACUGUCACCUAAGAGGGUUGGGUUACAAAGUGAUGCCCCAGGAGAGAGCCACAUUGUCUAGAGUUUGUUUAUAAACCCUGCCAAUUAACUUCAUAUCAUCUCUGCAUUUUAAAACUUCUGUUAGUUUGCCAGGUGUUGAAUUUUCGAGAAUCAUAAACAAUAUGUGUCAUACAAAUGGAAUUAGACAUAUUAGUCAUCAUUUAAUUUAGAGCUACAAGGAAAUUAACUCUGGUUGGGUGUGACAAUUGCUGUUUUGUAUGGAAUCUUGUUUCUACCAAGAAUCUUGCAAUUGUACAUUCUGAGAGAGAAAAAAGGUAGAAUUGUGAAAUAAAAAAGUGGUACAGUAGCUUUGUUUUGUUUUUUAUCCUGUGGUUGAAACUGGCUUCCAUAGGUUUGUGUAAAUAUGUAAAGGGUUUUAUUAAUUAAUUUAUUAAAGGUUUUUAUUUUAUUAUUACUAUUAUGUUUUUUUGACUGUUUCAGUGGUUAAGCAAAAUUGCCAGCUAAGGUGCUAAAUUUUCCACUUGGUUUAACAUGUUCUACAAAUAUUCUAUUUAUGUUCUGCUGAACUUCUCAACUUUCUGUUCACAGGUUCUCUUUAAGACAGAUAUAACUUCAGAGGGAUGCUUUGGGCAAAAAAACAAAAUGUUCUCUCUGUCACAUGCAGGUUGUUUGAUCAGUUCUGGCGAGAUACUCUAAAAGACACUGUUUCAGCUCUUUAAGAAGAUCUAAGGUGAAGGAUCUUCAGUGCCCUGGAAACCUACCUGUCCACCUCCAAUAAGAUGGCAUCACCUUACUUACAGGAGGAGCUUGAUAGCAGAUCUGGUGAGGACUGUUGAGUGUUUAUAAAGACUAGACU
Molecule: long non-coding RNA, 1307 nt
Organism: Cyprinus carpio (common carp)
Lineage: Eukaryota; Metazoa; Chordata; Actinopteri; Cypriniformes; Cyprinidae
Source: Ensembl